AUGUGGACCCAGGCUCAACAUCUUUCUAGAGGCCACCCAGCGGCACUGUUUGAAUUGAGAGAUGAGCAUAGACAAAGAGAGGAAACGAGAGAGGAAGGAAGCCGCAUCAUGGGGGCGGGCACAUCAAAGUUUUCCGCGGCGGAAGUCGCCGGCGACAAGAUGCUCGGCGCCCCUCCAGACUCCUCGCGCCCUGCUGAUGAGGUAAGCUACGGCCCCUUUUCCCCUCUCUCCCCUCCACCCCCCAAAUUGUGCCCCCAUUUGCGUGUACGCGAGGUGAAAUCAAGCUGCGGAUGUCAAUUUUAUAUAGUCUAG
Molecule: ribosomal RNA, 312 nt
Filed under: Triticum aestivum (bread wheat)
Lineage: Eukaryota; Viridiplantae; Streptophyta; Magnoliopsida; Poales; Poaceae
Description: partial small subunit ribosomal RNA
Source: RNAcentral